AUAACUAGAAAGAGCUUUUCGCAAAACCUUGGUUAGAGAAUAUCAAUUAGACUUCGUUUGGGAUUGCGGGGAGAUUGCAUCACGUGCGAUAAAAAAGUACGAUGGGAAAAUAUCCUGUUUGUUUUCGUACGUAAUAUUGUGUUCCGUAUAUCGCGAUGAGUUGGUUAUGAUAUAUUUUCUGUAGUUCCACCGGAGAAUGCAGAAAUAUAUUCCUAUAUAUUUUUAUCUUAACUUCAUUUUAUUAGAUAGCAUUAGAUAGGCCUCAAUACCAAACCAAGCCUUAGAGGAGAGUAGAAUUUUUAAUCAAAAUUUUUUAUGUCGUUGUUU
RNAcentral lists this long non-coding RNA (327 nucleotides) under Ananas comosus (pineapple). Its description in RNAcentral is "long non-coding RNA (ACOM_LNC025946)". Lineage: Eukaryota; Viridiplantae; Streptophyta; Magnoliopsida; Poales; Bromeliaceae. The record is from RNAcentral.